Non-coding RNA from Xyrichtys novacula (pearly razorfish), 22026 nucleotides. NCBI's taxonomy places the organism in Eukaryota, Metazoa, Chordata, Actinopteri, Labriformes, Labridae. The record is from the annotation of a GenBank genome assembly.
CUUAUCCUCGACCUGGACGGAUAAUUUGUCUCGGGGUGAAGAGUUAGUGAGACGUUGCAGCAAAGACGGUGUGCCAGCAUCUGCUCCGCCCUCAGAGCUGCUGUGACUCAGCUUGAUAGUGAGUGACACUUCAUUAUCAGAGACUUUGAUUUGAGGGUAAACAUGAUGUUUGAUGAUUCACUGCACCAUAAAUAAAUGAAAAGAGUGUGAGUUUUUAGUGGAAGAAAGUCAACACUGUACUGUGAGAAAUAAAUAACAUUAAUGAUAAUGCCUCUCCUCCUCAACCUCUUUUUCACUACAGAAUUACGGACAGGGGCAGCUGCACAAACAAGGGAGUUGUGAUUAAGUGCCACUUUUAGACGGAAACGGUCUCCAUAGAAAAUGGAAAAGUGCAGUUUCGUUUUCAGUUUUUAUGCUGUGUUUACACAAAAACGCAAUGUGGUUGAAAGCGCUGUAAUGUGCAUGCCAGGUCGCUAGGUGGCGCGUGUUAGUGUGACCGCGCUCCCAUAUAGACCAACAACGCAUAUGUAGAACAAUUUCCGUUCUACUUCCGCCGACCAAUUGGCACAUUUAUUAUUUGAUGCAAAUAAUUCAGACGCCUCCUCUACUGAGCAGCAUGAUUUCUGAUUGGCUGAUUGAAAGCAGGUCUCUGAUUGGCUGAAUAAAAGGAGCCUUCUGAUUUGCUGAUUGAAGUACAUCUCUGAUAGGCCAGUAAGAAAAACUGCCUGGUUGGCAUAAUUUAUGUUGCUUUUAAGUUACCUUAGAAGUCAAAAAUAAUGAAAGCUUUUUCAACGCUUGCCUUGUCUGGAUUAAGCAAGGACAAGGCAAGCGCUAAAAUAACUUUCAUAAAUAUAGCCAUCUUGUUUUCCGCCUCCGAUUUUGCUUUUUUCCGACUUGGUAACUAAAACACUGGUAACUCAGGUUUGACAUCUGACUUCCAAGGUAACUCGAACGCAGCAAUAAGCAGCCAUCUGAUUUGCAGGAUAGAAUGUGCUUUCUGAUUGGCUAUUGAAAGCAGGUCUCUGACUGGCUGAAUCUCUUUUAGGCUUGCAGGUGUGGCUCUGUGCUGGUCUUGAAUUCAGAAACCUUACGUUGUGAGGCAAAGGGGAGAUGUUUAUAAGAGCAAGGCUGCUAAUUGAGAAUAUUCAGUUUGUACUGAAAGGGCAUGUGACCUGAAGCGUCGAAAUUAUAAAUACCUUACAGGUUUGAAAUAAACACCUUGGCAAGACACUAAGAUGUGCAGAACCUUCUGGAUCCUUUUUUCUUGCGCACAGUUUUAAUGGAAAAAAGAUGCUGUGAUGACAAGGUUGAUGCUACCGUCAUGAUAUUUCCCUGGGGUCCAGCGCACCACAUCAUUUAUCAUCAGCUGACAGCAUGUUCCUCAGAGUCUCCCUGUCUGAUAGUAAAUGCAAAACCUUGUUGUUUAAAGUUGUUUGAAUUAUUUAUUUUGUCUAUAUCGUUGAAUUUGAAAAUGAUUUUGUGGUCAAAUAACUGUUGGGCUGACUAACCUGUAUGAUAAUAAAUGAAUGGAUCACAGUUUUUUGGCCUUCAGCACAAGAGCAUUUGCAGAUACAUGCAAUCAUGCAGAUGGGUGAAAGCCUGAGUAUAACAGCCAUGCUUUCAUGUAAUUUUUGAUGAAACUCAGGCCUCCAGCUCCUUUAGCAUAAACUGGUGCAAACUGAAUAGGGGAAAUUGGAUUUGGUUGGAAGCAAGGAGAAAAGGUUGCAAAACAGCUGUUGUGUUAAGCAUGAAGAACAGCAGGUAAACAUAGAAACAGCAGCUAAUAUGCACCAUAGAGUUUUAUUUCAAUUCUUUCUUUAUUAGUUGCACUUAGAUACGAUAUGGUACAAUACAGUAUGAUAAGAUACGAUACAAUAUGAUACAAUACGAUAUGAUACAAUAUGAUAUGAUAUGAUAUAAUACGAUAUGAUAUGAUACGAUACAAUAUGAUACGAUAUGAUACGAUACAAUAUGAUACAAUAUGAUACGAUACGAUAUGAUACGAUACAAUACGAUACAAUAUGAUACAAUACAAUAUGAUACAAUAUGAUACAAUACGAUAUGAUACGAUAUGAUAUGAUACAAUACAAUAUGGUACGAUACAAUAUGAUACGAUACGAUAUGAUACGAUACGAUAUGAUACGAUACAAAAUGAUACAAUAUGAUAUGAUGCGAUUUGAUACGAUAUGAUACGAUAAAUUACGAUACAAUAUGAUAUGAUACAAUAUGAUACGAUACAAUAUGAUACAAUAUGAUACGAUACAGUAUGAUGUGAUACAACAUGAUACAAUACGGUAUGAUACGAUACAAUAUGAUAUGAUAUGACAUGAUACGAUACAAUAUGAUACAAUAUGAUACGAUAUGAUAUGAAACGAUACGAUAUGAAACGAUACGAUACACUUUAUUGUCCUCUUAGGGAAAUUUGUCUCGGACUCCAAGAGCUGUUUUUUUCUCCAGUUUCGCUGGCUUAGUGUGAGCAUAGUCUUCUUUGUUGUAAUUAAAAGCAGCCUUUCAUGUUGGAUAUUUUAGAUAAACCACAUUGAUGAAGAAAACACACAAUGCUACAGCAGCUUUCAUACUUGUCUUUCAAAAAUUACUGGAAAAGCUUUACACGGAACAAAGGAACUUAAUAUAACAAAUGAAAAGUGACUGUUUUGGUACAUGCAGUUUGCAGAGAACAGAGUACAUUUUUAUAGGCUACAGGGAUGUCUGGAGUCAGAAAGUCCAGUGCCCACAGUUUUCAGAUAUAUGAAAAAAAACACUGAAAACAGCUCAUCCUCACUCCUCAAUCAAUGGAUGCCGCCCACUCUAGCUGUACCCACAGAAGUCCAAAGACCUCGACGACUCACAGUAAAAACUUUCCCUCUUUGAAAGAUGACUCAACCAUUGACGUCCUCCGCCCUCUCAGUCUGAGUGAACUAUCGGUGCUUUCAGAGGAGAUAAAAACAAGAGGAGUAUUUCUCCUGUCUGAAACAGGUUCGUGUUUCAGUUCAUUGCUCUCUGAUGUCCGUCUGCAACAGUCAAUAAUGUCAGCCGAGAGACACUCUGGUCUGACUAAGAAAUACCUUUUGGCUUUCUGCUCUCAGAGCUUCGAUUUAUCUUUUUUACAUUUCUGACCUGCUGUCGUGGAGUGAACAUUUUUGCAGGGUGCAGCUUGAGAAAGUGCCAGCAGCUCAAAAAUCAAACCCUGAAGAGUGAAUCAAAAUAAAGCCUAUUGUUGCAACUGAAGAGGACUGGUGAAAUACAAAAGUACAGGCAGUCUGUCAUUCCUUGACCUCUACAGUCAUGACCCUCAGAGCUGUCAUCAAAACAUAUAUAUAUAUAAACUGACUAAAGUAGGCUAUCUAAAUGUAUAUAGAAGGUAAAACAUUCACUUUUCAUUGGUAGAAAACAUACAGUAGCGAGGCCGCAAUAACCUAUAGUUGUACUUCAGUAGCCUACAUUUUUUUUAUUAGUCCUUUUUUGUAUAGAUUUAUUGAUUCAUACUGAUUAGUUCACUUGGAAUAAAGCAAAAGCAAAAGCUUUUGUUUUUCUCCAUUUUUAAUCUAUAUCCAAACUGACCCUUUAUACACUGAUAUAAAUAUCUGUGUAUUUGGGUGUCAGGUCACAGGAUAGUCUGAAAUAAAUGUUUCCACUUUUGUCCCUCAGGUGCCCCCUUGUGGCCACCUUAAGUCCUUGCACUGAAGUUUCCAGAGAGAAACAGGAGCAGCAGGUGUGAUGAACCAAAGAUGAAAUCUCAGGUAAGGGAGACAGAUGCACACAACAACACAUUCAGCUGUCGGGUUUCAAAAUAAAGCAUGAACCUUUAAAAUCAGCCAUUGAAAAGUAAAACAGUUGGAACAUGAGUUUUGAGUGGAGUUUAAAUACAUUUGUUAAUGAAGAAUCAACAUGUUGACUUGGUUUUUUUUACUGUUUUAAGAAUUUAUUUCAGAUUGUAUUUUUAGUAUAUACAGGCACAUUAUGCAUGUGUUGGAUUUGACUGUGCAGACACCAAAAGGGCCCCGUUUAAAUCAUCCAAGACUUUUUGCCUUCACCUGGAGAGGACAGGAUAGUGAACAGGGACAGAGAGCACUUGGAUUCCCUGUACCUGUCCAUGUGGGAGGGAAGCUACAGGCUGGGCCGGUGGUGUGAGGCAUAACCUGUGUAUAUGGGGUGAUGUGUAGUCUGCUUGGCCAACAGACCAAAAUGCUUUGGUGCUGUGCUAGCCUGCCAUUACCAAACCUAUUCUCUUUGGUGAACAAGUCUGGAAACUCUCCAUUCAUUCCAUUUAUCAGAGGGCAUCAGCAACGGUCAUGUACGAAAGUGCAAAUGACUGUACUUUGACAUCGCCGCCAUAUUGCAGAGGGCAGUCUGGAAAGAUGCCAAUUCAUGUGAUGCAAAAACCUCCUACUGGCUGUUGUGAAAUGAUCAUGCUGGUCUAAUCUUGACUUAUAAGUGUUAGCAUAGCUUCCUGCCAAUAUUCAGCAAAUGUGCGUAUAAGUACUGUGUCACUACAGUCAUAUGGUUUCACUGUAAACCCUAUUCUGCCUAAACAGUGUAAAACAGUAAGCUGUGUCUGCAUUUGUCCUCAUAUGGUAUCAUGAGGACGUGUCAGGGAGGAUUUGAAAUGUUUUCUUCUACCUGUACAUGGAUGUGAGGAAAGAUCAGACCAGCAGGCCUGUGGUGUGGUGGUUUGGACUGCUACCUAAAAAUGAUCCUGCAUUCAAAUCACUCUGAGUUUGCUGAAGUAGACCUGGUUCCAGUCUCACCCUAGCUGAGUCCAUGUUCGGGUCUUUUAGUUUUCCAGUGUAUUUCAGCACUUCUACUGCAGAGGAACCAAACAGUAACCUCACUUGCUUAUGCCCAAAGUUGACAAUGUAAAGCUUCUCUGUGUUACCAGUUUUUGCAACCAAUAGCUUGCACCCUUAGACUGUGUUUGAAUCUCACCUUUGUCCCUCCAGUUUUUCCAUUCUUGCAUGGAAAUAUUCUUCUUUUCCUACAGUUUCAUUUGCAGUAUCAGAGAUUUAACCCCAGAAAAUCACGAGACAUGCUGAUGGAGAUCUUUAUGGAGGAAUUAAAAGCAAAAAUUAUCUUAAGUGUAGAGUACAGGAGGUUUUUAUAUGCAGCUUUGUACUAUUUGUGUUUCUCUUGGAAUGACUUGCACUGUGUUUGACCACGUUUACUCCACUGAAGACCAUGUUCACCUCUUUCUCCUGUAGGUGGCAGCACAGGCUUUUAGAUAGAUCAUGAUGCUGUGUAUGAGAUAGAAAACUCUUUUCAGAUAUUGUAAGAUAUGCCACGUUAACUUAAAAGUAAAAAUUGGCAACUUGUCUGAUUGGAAAGUUUGUUUUUAAAAUCUCUUAAAGUAGUUGGACAAAUCUCAGGAAAUGCGUUGGCAGAUUCUGUUUUCCUGAUUUGUAAUGUAGCACUUAAAACCACAAGAUGGAGCUGCUCUCCUUUUAAAUUUCAGCAUUAAGCCCACUUAAAAUCACACAAAGCUGUAAUUUUACAAAGGAACAGUGGGUGUGUUUUAAACUGGGCGACAGAAAUGAGAAUUAAAACAGUCAAAAAUAUGCAAAGAAAUGACUUCCUGUCUCUCUGAGUUGUAUUUCAGUGGUUGUAUAAAGGAUUUUGAGGAGCAUAGCGAGGGAAAACUGUUCCCAUUUGAAACCCUUUAGGACAGGUCUGUAAAAGUAGGUUAAUGAGUCACAACAAUUCAGGUGCAGACAUCAUGUUCAGCCAGCGGGCCCACAAAAGACUCAUGUCAGCAAGAGAGAAGCACUCAGGAUGAAUGUUCACUGAUAUGAGCACUACUGAUUAAAAGCUUUCUGUUUGGGGUCUCUAUACAUUUCAGGAUGAUAUAAUCCACCAAGAAUACAGUUAUACAUCUGCAGGUAUGAAGUUCAUCUACAUACACAUUCAUAUCUUGUAAUCCAACGGAAUAAAACAAUAUUUUGAUCUUUUAGCACAAACAUCUAUGGACUCAGACAGAAAAGGACAGUUUACAGUCAUAAUCUAAACUAAAAAGAGGGAAUAUGCCAAAUCAAAAUAUACUGAAAGUUCUGAGUUUCUUUAAAAUACAGUCCAAAUCGUGGAUUUUAACACAGUCUGACAUCUGAUGAGUACAAAAGAGUUUCAGGGUUAAGGAGAAAGAAUCAAAUGAAAGGAGGAAGAUUUCUUUGUCAUUAUGUGCUUCAAGAGUAAAGUAAAAAUGUUGAGAAUAAAGUUGAAUUUUUAAGAAAAGAGAUUAAAUUUAACUUUGGGCAAACAGUUUAACGCAACACAUGACAUUAUCACAGAGUUUUGACUUUUUUUCUCAACAAUUUGACUUUUAUCUCAAAACUGUCUGUCCUACUUCUAAUAUAAGCUUUAUUCAUUACUCUGAGUUUUCUUAGAAGCUACUUUUAGUGGGGAUCUUUGGGUGGUACCUACUGUGGUCUAUCACAUCCCAGCAUCUGACAACAUCAGGCGGUACAAAAGCACGGCCGUUAUAUAUUCACGUCUCCCUCUUAGUAAAACCAAAGCAUGCAGAAUAAUUCAUGUAAAACCAUUUUGAACAUUUAUUGCAUUAAAUUCAGAUCAUUACCAUGUGAUUAGUGUAAAUGCUCAUGAUGGGGUGUUGACAAAAUUGGGGUCAAUUGUAUAACUGCUAAGUCAAACUGGCACAGCGUGUAUGAGUUAUUUAAAGUAGGUCAACUGGGCUUAUAGGUGACGUGCGAUUGAAUAUUUGCAGUCUGAGCACAGGUUAAUCCAACAUGUCUAUUAUUCUAUUAUUCUGUUAUUUGUUUUGGGAUUUUUCAGAUAAAGUCAGGUCAGGAUCUGUUGAGUAGUGUGAUGCUUUUGUCUGCUAAGCCCACCAAGACAAUCCAAGGCCUGUACAAAUAAAUGACUUGACAUGUCUCCGCUGCUCUUGACCCACUUCACUUGGAGCCCCAUGCCAGUCAUCAUUUUUGUGUUUCCAUGGCAAUGUAAGGAGAUGCAGUGCAAUACCAUGGCAACAACAGAUCUUGUGGAACAAAAAAUUGAGCUCCCUGUUGGGCAUACACCUGUGUGUGUGUGUGUGUGUGUGUGUGUGUGUGUGUGUGUGUGUGUGUGUGUGUGUGUGUGUGUGUGUGUGUGUGUGUGUCCAUUAUAAUACAGGGCUGCACUUUGCAGUUAUGAUGGUAAGGAGAUCAUGAGACUGGUCUGGCUGUUGAAAAUCACAGCUCAGACUGCCGUGUGAGGCUUUACAUGACCAUCUCACAUGAAAGUUCCAAGUCAGGAUUUGAACCCAGAACCAUUUUAAGGCAGCAGUGCUUCAGGUCUGCUUGCCUUUCUUGGUCUUUUGGUUAAACCAUGCCAUUACUAUAAUUUAGAACACAGUGUGGAGAAAUGAUUUGUUCCUGUAUCGUGUGGAAAACGCCUCUUCAGGAGUUGAACCAAGAACCUUUUUACUCAAAGGCAGCAAUGCUAACCCCUUGACCCCAGUCUGUAUAACAGUGCUUGCUUUAUUUGGCGCCUUCUAUUCAACACUUCUUUAUGAUUGCUCAAAAGCACAGCCUAGGCUCUUCAGACACUUAUAUUGGUUUUAUACUCUGAACCUUUCAGCUGUGAACUGGAAAUCUAAAUCAAUGAAACACAGUCGGCCUUACAUUUCUCCCCUCUUAGUUGUUAUAACUUUCCUGUCAGUUUGGAGCAGUGUGAUCCAUACUCUAAAAACCACUUAAAUAAGGUAUUACUAUGUCAGGCUAGAUUAAUUACCUUUAUCUGUUUUUCAUUAUAUUGUGGUAAUUCAAAAGCACAGUCAAGACAGCUGUGGUACAAAACCAGAAUAUAUUCACUACACAAAGAAAGUUUUCCACCAGACUGUGAACCGAUGGUGUGUCCCAAAUCGCAUACUUCCAGUACUAAAUACGUAAAAUCUUGAGUAUACUCAAUGCAAAAUGGAAAAAAGUUUUUUUUACUGUUUAGUAGUUUGACUUGUCUACAGUCAUCUUAACGUUAAAUAACGAUUUUGCAAAAUAGAUCACAAAUAAACUACAUACCGCUGCAUCUUCAGCCAGUAGAAGGAGGAGAAAGCGUUGUUGGCGCCGAUUGAGAUGUAAAAAGCAAUGAACAUUCAUUUUGUUGCUGAUUUUACCUCAAAAGUGGAUGAAUGAGCGCAGGCAAAAGGUGGCGGUAGUUAGCUAAUGCAGAGCUAGCCAAUGACAAAUUGGCGUAGAUGAAAAAAUCGCAGCGUCAUUUCCAGUGAGACGCACGGCAACACUGCACCCUCGAAACUCAAUCACUAUGCGAUUGAGUACAUAGUAUGCUUAGAAAACUCAAUUUGAAAAAUUUAAGUAUUCAGUAUGGAAGUAUGCGGUUUGGGACACACCUCUACAAUCUGCUAGCCACGAGGCGUCAGUGCUUACUACCACACUUCACAUUUUGCAGUGCUCACUUUCACAGGUUUAUGACCUUUUUAUUAUACAAAAGCCUGGUGUACAUUCCAGUGGUAGGAUCCAAACCAUCUCCGCAUGACUGGGUCACUGCUGGGACGACACACGACUUUAAUAUGGUUAGAAAUCAAUGCUAAUCGCUUCACUGAGGUGCCAGUAUGCAGGAUUUGUUCAGGGUUAUACCGUCUGGAACAUCAUGGUGAUUUAAAUGCUUGUUCUGUCCUCCAAUGGUGGGACCCGGGACUUCCUAGCUCUACAUGAAUAGGUCCCUGCCAGGGUCAGAACAUUGAGAGGAAAAAAUCUUGCUUUUCAUUUCGGGUUUAUUGAGGGUCGUUUCUUCCACUGGGACCCAUGAUAGUCACUCCCACUUGUCUCCCGUACCGUCAUGGCAUUAUUAGCUGAUGGUUAAUGUUUCACCACACAGACUGAGUGGGAUUUCCAUGAACAGUGGAUUUACCUCUUACUGAGCACCGCAUCUAUAAAACAUUGGCAUGUGCACAAUUUGCUGUUGUUUAAUACAUUACCCUCUUCAAGCAGCUGGGACAUGUUGCACUAUAAUCCUCCUCACCACUUAGCCUAUUCGAAAAAACAAUGGACAGCAGCCAACAUUGCAGCAAUAAUACAACAUUAAAAUGCAGCACGUAUAAAUUAUGGCUGAGGAUCCUGCAACAGCGGCCACCGUGGGUCCCAUCUGGCGCAGAGAAGUCAUGACAUAACAUUGAUUUAGAGGCAUUUUUAUUGACAGUUGCCCCUUCCUCAUUCUGCGUAGUGGCGUUGCAUGAGCGGUUAAUUGCAUCACCACCACCUGAGUCCAUCUGCAAAUCAGCUCUCAGUGACAAGGGGUGGGAUUACACUGGGAGCUAAAAUCUGAUUUAACAUGACCCUGUUUUGACUAAUAUGUGAUAUUAGCCCUGUUAUCGUAAUAUGAAAAACCUACACUGAGUCUGUGAGCGGCUUGUAAAUGUGUAGAUUUAUGGAAAUUGAAGUGCAAAGAUCAUAUUUUUAUUUGAUAGAACAGCCCACUGGUGGAUAUUUUCCAAGGCCGGCAGAAUCAUACACACUGUUGGUUUCAAGCUCAUUUAUAAUUUAAAUGUAUAACACCAUUUCUGAAAAGACUGGGACGACGUGUCGUGCAAAAGACAAUAUACGAACUAUUGAAACACUUGAUAGUUUUAUAAAGUUUGAUUUUUCUAACACAUUUAAAGUAAGUUAAGACAGGGGCAUGUUUAUGAUGUCGCCAUGCAUUACCUCUUCUUUAACCAAUACUCUGUUGAGGUUUGAAAUCCCAGGUGACCAGUUUCCCAGGGUCUCCUUUGUUGUAUCUUUAAUUCAUGAUGCACCAGAUGUCUUUAACAGUCUACCGCAUGGUACACUUUGUUGAUGAAGUGGUGAAUUGUGUCCAUCUACACAACAGUUUUUGGGAGUGGUUUUUAGCCUAUGCAGUGACUUCCACUAUAGAGUCAUGCACCCUAAAUUACAGCCACCUAGUGUUGGUUACUGGGUUUGUAUCAUAUUCAAAAUGACCUUAUUUUCAGGAAACAGUUGCACUAUUUUCAAUUGAAUAUCAGGUGUAAACUAUUUGCAUCCCAUCAAAAUCAAUUUGUAUUUUCAUUUAUACAACAUCCCAGUAUGUACGGGACAUACGUAGACUGUAUAUACUAUGGACAACUUGGUUUCGCCUUUCGCCAGUAUAAGGAUUCGAAGCCAAAAAGCUCUUGCUGAUCCCGUGUUUUUUCUUCAUUUCCUGAAACCAACACUGUGGAGUAGCAGUGUACGCGCUUCACUGAGAGUCACUGUGAUGACGCUUGGCUCAAACAGCGUAUCCCUGGGUGAGCUAGGCAAUCUUCGUACGCCCAUAGGCUGAAUCAAGUGUCAAUCAUAGAAAAUAUGAACCCCUAAUAACUUUUAAAACUGGAGCUGUACAGAAAAAAGAGGACUCGAGCACAAACCAGUCUUACAGUAACUACAUGUCAACAUCGCAAGCAGGGGGGAGAAAAAAAUUUAUGUUCUGUGUAAUUAAUUUCUACAGUUUGUCCACAGCUCCAUAAGGAUGGCUGGCGGAGGCAGGAUUUAUGACCUAUACUGCAGCCUGUCACCAGAGGGUGCUGUUCUCAGAGUGGCUUCACCCAUCAAGGAGGCGGAUGGCAUCCAUUCUAUAUACAGUCUAUGGUAUAGGACAAGAUCAGCAAAGACGUAACAGCAGUGUUGUUUUCUUUGACAAUGACGUUGAUGAAAUAUUUUCAUCAAUGAAAUAUUUUCGUCAACGAAAACAACACUGCAGAAUAUAUGUUUAGCGUUAGACUGCUCAUGAAUUUUGCAACUCUGUUCAUCGUCCACCACUAAAGUUGUCCUCUAGUCAUGUCAACGUAAAAACACAUUUUAGUCAUCUAAGACUUAUGUUUAGCUCGUAAACGUCACGUCUUUGUCGUGUAAAAAAAGGGGUUAGUCAAUGAAAACAACACUGCGUAAUAGGUUUCAUUUUAUCCACAGGGGGCGCCAAAUUCAACACAAAUUGAAAGUUCCUUGCUAGAGCUUUAAGGAUGAUAAAAAAAUUCCUUGUUGCCAUCGAUGAUCUUUAAAAAAAAAGCUUCAUUUCUCAUCUCCAGCUGCACAGACUGUGCAGACUCAAUAUCAGCCCACCAUCAACACGUGAAUAGUAUUUUUAUCGGCAUAUGAAUUUUAAUUUGGGAUAUUCCCUGGCUCUUGUGCAUCUAGUGGGAGGACACAUUUACAUUUCAUGACAUUCUCAAUCCGAAGAGCGCAGCAUCUCCAUAACGUGUGGGUGAAAUAUGCAUGAUGCCUUUAUCAGUCGAAACACUGAUAAAACAAUGAAGAAGACAGUAUCCAGCCGUGUAAAAUCCAACCAAUGAGUGUCUGAGAAACACCAGGAGAGCUGCUUCUCUGCUGCUAGAAUGCAGCACGUUUUCUCCAGCUGUAUUGAUUUUCUGAGUUUGUGGUUGUACUCUAAAAAUAUUCCAACGGCUUUGUUCUCGAGAAGUAAAUCACCUUUCCUCACCUUUGAGCAGAACUUUAAGAAAGACACUCAUUGAAAGUAAUUUUCUUCAAUCUAGAUGUAAGAUUUCUGCCCAACAGCAGCCUUUUGUUGAGUCCUCCAGAUGGUCUCUGCAUGUGCUGUACUCUAUCACUGGGAGCUGCCUCUCUACAUGCUCUCUCCAUUGUAAUGCAUAUCUGCACGUGGUGCCUUUUAGCCCUGAGCUCUUUUCAUAGCAGAAUCGCUGUGUCUCAAUCAAUCUGACUUCCCUUUAUUCACGGUGACCACAGCUCGGUCCGGCUUUAACUACAAGCUUUUGUAGCCGGUUAUUCGUCUUCUGUCGGAGGAAACGUAACAAUGGAAGUUUCUGUAGGAACAAUGGUGAGGUGUGAUUGAUAUAACCAUCUGCCUGACUGGUCACCUUGAUGAAAAUUGAGUGGAGGAGUGUAAUAUGAAUGCUGAUCUGCGUCUAGAUUGUGUAAAGAAAGGUCCAGAUCACCGCAGGAGAGGUGCAGGUUUGUUCGUGGAAUGACUUGGCCGUCUCCCAGUGUCUGCAUGCACGUGUCUACUUGUGCAUUCAUGUGUAUUUCUUAUCUGUAAGCUGGAGUGUGAUGAUAGUGGCCUUUACACGCCUCUUCUGGGUGGUCAUUCUGCAGAUUAAUCUCACAGCUGAGAGAAAGGGUCGUGACCUCUGCUGUUUUUCUUUCAGGGGAGGUCACUCUGAAUCCGGGCUGUCUGCUUGUUUCUGAUGUGACUCAAAUAUACAAAGCUCUGUUCAGUCGACACCAUGUUUUUUUCUGAAUAUAGCUGCUCUUUCUUGAUUCAUAUCUUCAUUUUAAAACAUGUUCAGAACAAAGAAAACUAUUACAUAUAAAAUACAAACCAAAACAGCAAAUCUGCAAAGUCUGACACAAAGAAAACUGUUCUUGUUAGAUUUAUUUUGUGAUUUUAUCUUUUUCUCAAUUUCUACAGAAUGCUCAGUUUUGCCUGAGUUGAUUAAAUGUCGAAAUUAAAUUAAAUUAGAAACAGUCCUCAAGAUUUCCUGAUGACUAGACUACAUUGAUUUUAUUGCUUUGUGAAAACCCUGACACCCAAAGAUAAGAGCUUGAAAAUAAAAGAAAACAGAAAUAAAAAAUCAAGUGAUUUGGCAUUUUUGUCUCAGAUGAUAACUGAGUAUCUGCAGAUAGUGUCAGCUUUUCCAGAUUAAAUUCUUAUUGGUUGACAUUAAAACAUUGAAUAAUGAAUAAAAACUAAAAGUUCUUAUAAUAUACAUCUCUCUGGUACGACGGAGUAUUAGGGCCACAUUAAGAAAAAAAAUAAGACUUUGUAAUUACUUAUGAGAAUAAAGUCGUAGCUAAUAGCUAUUCUAACCUGUUGUUCGUUGUUUAAAUGAGCGCUUUGGAGCAUUUAGAUGAAUUGAACUUCAGUAGCUUGGUUUCACAAACAAGGAGAUACUAAAUCCUUUGGCGUUUCAGCAUCACAUUGUCAUAAGUAUCAGGACAAAUGCAAGAAAUGCAUCUUUUCCGCAGAAAGAACCAGGUCGGGAAUCGCUGUUUUUGAGGCUGAAAAUGUCUGUGUAGAGGCUAAAUCCCUUAAUGCAGCUGUUUAAAGCAAUCGCAUAUGUCUUUAGUUUAUCAUAUGAAUCUACUAUAUGCCAUAAGGUGUUGGUGCCUCUGCAGGUGUAGGUUGCUGCCGGUGUUGUACUGGCAUCAGAGACAGACAUGGUCGGACUCGUUGCAGCUUGACUUCCUCUGAAUCGCAAACGUUGAUCAUCAGUUGGAUUGUUUCUUGAGAAACCACAAAGGUCCUCUGAAUGACCCACUGAUGCACCCACUGAUAACUCUGCAGUUGACCAGUUCAGCCAUUUCCUUCUCCACAAAAGCAGCUUUAAGACUUCAUUUACUUUAUGACUUUAUUCUCGCAAGUAAUUAUUUUCCUGUGGCUUUCUUCUCGUAAGUAAUUACAAAGUCUUAAUUUCUUUCCUAAAUGUGGCCCUAAACUCCUUCGUACUCUGGCAUUCCAGCUAAAACCUUUGAGAAGUUUUGAGAAGCAUUGGCGGACCUGACUGCAGAGCGUCUGUGCCUUCUAAAAUAGCGCAAAAAGACUCUGACGAAUGACGAGUGCCCAGCGCUGCCACGUGCAUCAGAGUGUAAAGAUGCUAACAGCUCAUUUCAAACACAAGUUAAUGCAAAACUGGAGCAAACUGCAUGAAACUGCAGAUGUGGAUGGUCUGAGUGAGGUACAGGCCACCUCCCUCUGGUUUUUUUGUCCUCUGUUGCUGAUGAGUCUCGGUUUCACUGUAGGCUUUAAGCUACACAGAGGUUUCACAAUGGUAUAAUUAGCAGUUAGCAAAGAGGCUAAAGCCCAAUCCAAACUUAUGUUCUUUCCCUCUUAGGUAGAGGAAGCACUGUGCUUCAAAACUCUGAUCCAGAAACCAAUGGGUGAUAACAGUGAGUCUGAGUCCAUAUAUCUGUCCCUAAUACAGUGAAGACAUCUCCCAGUGAGACAUUUAUCCACCUAUCCCUCUUUUCUGGUCAUACAUAAUAAAAUUUUCUAAUAGAUCUCUUGAGAGUUGAGCUUCCUAGUUUUUUAAAAUCUACAUCUCUCUUUUUUUACACUUUUCCUAAGCGUCUGAGCAACCGUAUCUGCCUUCUUGCCUCAUUCCCCUCCAAUCACCUAAAUUAUUAAUGUUUUAUAUUAAAGCAUAUGAAUGCAUUAUUUAGCAAGGUCCUCUAGUACGCUGAUAAAGAGAAGCUUUCACACAGUUUACGGCUUUUCUUCUCCCUCGUCUUACAGCUUCGUAACCCACUUUAAUUCUUCCAUAAAUCACUAAAAUAAGGUUGUACAGCGGUUUAAAAAAAACUGCUCACACUGCACGCAUAAACAUUUGUGAGAUCUGAUAACUGUUCUGUUAAAAAGAUAACACUUUCUAAUACAAAUUUGUCUGAAAGGCGGUGUGGCAUGUUUCUCACAUCCUGUUUGUUUGACUCACGACAGCCUCUUUGGACCUUGGCUGCUCUGUGUCCAUGCAAACCCAGGAAGACGAGUGAAUAAAGACGAGGUGAGCUGUUCAUCUGAGCUGACACGAAUCAUUCAGAAGUCCAGUAGAAGUAAAGAUCCUGCAAAUCCACAACUCAUGACAUAAACCCCACAUAAUAUAAUCCCAUGUGAAAUUGUUAUGUCACCAAUUUGCCAGACAAUGAACCCUUUUUUUAUGCUACAUUGGAUUAGGACAGCUCAGGAGCUCUUAUGUAAUCUAUGGGAGCCUGCAUGCAGAGGCACAAUGACUGGGUUGUUUUUGCAUGAGGCAGCAGCCCUGAAAUAAUCUGGUUACAUAGGAGCAUGUCAAUCCAGAACUACAAGAUCUGCUUUUAGAUGCUACAAAUACAAACUGCACCAGUGUGCUCAUGUGUUGGAUUUCAUGUUUAUUUUGGUCCAGAUCUAAGGGUCUGGAUUUGAGGUAAUGUUAGGAGAUUACAUACUCUGAUGAUGUAAUAGAGCAAACAAUGUAAGAUCGUAAUCUCAAUAACAACAAUAUUCUCUUAAAUGGAGGGAUUUUUAUUUCUAAAUGAGCCUAAUCAGACCAAUCUUUGCCAUUUAAGUCCAACACAGGGGUAUAAAUGGAAGACUUUGAGUUUUUGUUUCAUGCAACUUUUGUACAUCUUCAAUAUUAAAUCUAAAAUCCAAUAUACAACUAAUUUUUUUUAAGUUGAAACACUGAUGUUUUGAAUGUAUUAACAAUCACAUAAGCGCCUGGACUCCUCUUUUAAAGAUCCAUGCUGUUGUUAUAAAAGCAGAAUAUAGUUUGGCAUUGUCUGGUAUAUUCUACACAAACAUUGCUUUUCCAUGCUAUGGGCAGAUGUGCAUCAAAAUACCAUUUCAGGAUCUUUGCUUUUGAACUACACUGAUAAAGAGAAACCAAACGGUUGCUCUUCUCUUUGGAGUAGAGGCUACAUUAUUUCCAAGAGGAACAUAAAAUUCGGAUUAGUUUGACCCCAGGAUAUUUUUACACUCUACUUCAGUCCAUCUUAAAUAGAAAAUCGCCAGUGUUUUCGGAUCAUGUAUUGUUUCGUCUUUGUAUGUUACAGUUAUCUGAGUUUUUAACCUGGUAAGAAACAGACUAAAACUGAUACUGAUGCCUCUUUAUGACCUUCAAAAGCAAAAAAUACCAUCAGCAACAAGUCUGAUAAAUUCAUCGUAGUAAAUAAAAUAGACAAAUAAAUAGCGGGGUUUAAAUCACUUGCAACCCAUCAAAAUCUGUCAUGUUACAGCUGUCUGUGUUUUUAAAGGCACUGUAAGGAGUUUUUAACCUGGUGUGAAACAGACUGAAACUGAUCCUGAUGCCUCUUUAUGACCUACAACAACAAGAAAUAUUACUGGCAACAAGUCUGAUACAGUCACCUCAGUAAAUUUUAACAUGAAAAAUCACUAUGAGGGAGGAGGUGUUGGACUAGAUGAUUGACAGCAGGCUGAGAAAACGUCUUUUUUUAAACAGCAAAAACUCAGAGUGAAUGAUAAAUUUAACAAAACCCUAACCCUAACCGUAACCCAAUAGAUAAGAAGUAUUACAACGUCCACAGGAGGUCCCAAAUCAGAAGUUAAAAGUUUCUCACAGCAACUUUGAGGAAACUUGUUUUCAGUUUCAACACCUGAUAUGUCGUUUUUGGACUAUUUUCAAUUAAAUAUCAGGGUUUAAAUGAUUGCAACCCAUCAAAAUGUGUUUUUAUAAACAUUUUAAACAGCAACUUAAGUUUUUUGGGUGGUCGGGGAUCUGGUUUCAUACGGCUCGCAACAAUUUCUAUGUCAGCUUUGAUAAAAAGUGCUUCAAUUUUUUCAGAAUUUUUUUAAUCUACUAAAAUAAACUUCCAGUCCUUUUUUAUCUACCCCCAGGCUAAAGCAAUUUUAUGUUUCUGGCUGAUGGAUCAACAAUGAAACAUUUUUAUGACCUGUUUAUUCGGUUUACACUCAUAGUGGAAGAACUUUUUGUCCCUCCAGCGUUCACAUGAUUUUGUUAAAGCGGGGAAACUAGAUAAAAACCAGCAGACAUCUCAUGACCGUUCUGAGGCAUCCCAAAGACAACAUUGUUAGUGUCCUGUAACACUUUUAUUUUUGUGCCAAACGCCCAGUAUUUGUAGUACAUCAUGCUGUGUUAUCCUGGCUUUGGGUUGCCCGGGGCAUGAGUGUGUGGAAAGCUAGCUUAGGUUGAACACCUCGUCCACAUGAGCUUUUGAUCCACUUUAUAACAAAUGCUGGGGCGGACAACAUUACGGAAAAACCGCAAAUCUGCUCGACAGACUUCCACACAGGCUUAAAGUGGCCUGUUUGAUUGAGUUCAGCGUUCAUUAGAUCACUUCUAUCUUUAGACUGAAGCUGUGAGAGCUGGAGGGAGUGAGAGAGACGUAUCGACAUGAGGCUGAAGGGAAGUAGAUCAACGUGUCGCCACUGCUGAUCAUGUAAUCUUAGUGAAUUUACAGCUUAAUACCCACGUUUGGCGGGACCUGUGCGCCAAAUAUGACCAAUUAGACUCUAAUCACGGUGUCAGGAAAUACUCAGUGUCAGGCUCGAGCCGGGAAAUCCUUUUUACUGGAAAGCAAACACCCCAAGCAUCUGGACAUUUACCAAGAAGUAGCCGGGUCACUAUUUGAAGCUGUUAAUCCUGAAAAAAACUAACAUUUCCAGCACGUUUGUGUCACGUUAAGUGUGAAGUUGAAAUUUAUCACUUCCCCUGCGAUAAUCCAGGCAGUCGACCAUAUUGUUUCACUCUGCAGCGUCAUUAAUCAAAGCGGGGGGAGAUCGUUUGCAGGGUGUUGUGACAGAUAAGAGCAUCAAAACAUAUGCUGCAGAGUUUUGCAAGAGGAAAUGCGCUUUAAACGAACACUUUAUGGAGUUUGCAUGAAUCUUAAUGAGAUCAUUAAUAUGAGAUAUGCAGACAGGGCACAAGUUAGAGUUAAACUUUGUUAAAUAAGAGAUGAUCUGAAGUUCUGAUGCUCCAGUGGAAGAGACUGAUACUUUCUUUUCUUGAGUCUCAUUGUCUUUGGUUGAUUUUGGGGGCAGUUGUCUAAUAGGAGAUUUUUUUAAAAGUACUUUGCAGUUUCAUAUUCUUUCAUUACAAAUCAACAUUUGUAUUCCCAGGUAUCUAAAAUUUAAAAAAUCUGCAAGAUUCAGGUUGUAGCAUGUUGACCCUGCAAAAAGCAAUUUACAGGACAUUUAAAUAAAAUUCAAAACAAUGAAGCUGAAAGAUAACACAGAGUAUAAGGGACAAACUGAAGCAAAACUCAAUGAGAAAGUCGUAAUGUGAAAACUGUGUGGAAAACUUGUAACAAUUUUUUAAAACUUAGACCUUAACUUUGGAAUUUCACCACUUUUGGGGGGGUAAAAAUGUGACUCUUCUCAUGAAACAAACACUUUAUUGAAGAGAUGAUUCAACUUUUUCUUACUUGUUAAGUCAUGACUCUGUUCUUGAAGUAAUUUAUUUUCUUUGCCACGCACGUCCUGUUGAAAAAAGAUGAAUAACUUAUAACAAACAUAGGAAAUGAUGAAAAAUCAUUAGGCAUACAGCAUGAUCAUGAUAAUAUAUAUAUAUAUAUAUAUUUGCAUACAAGUAGGGCUGGGAGAUAAAACGAUAAUAUAUAUCGAAAAUUAAUUUCCCUCAAUAUCAAUAUAAAACAUAGUCAAUAUCCUUUUUUCGAUAGUCGGCAUUCUGCAAUGUUUUGGUAGACUAUACAAAUAGCCAAUGAAAAGGGGAGUUUCUCCAGGUCCGCUUCAAGCUGAACCAAUCAUGUGCUGAGUUAGAACCAAGUAGCAAAUAACUGCAUAGUAGCAGGCUGCAGCUACACACAACUAUAGCACUUUAACACCAAAAACAGCCGACCAUUCAGUCCACUUUCUCUAGAGCAACGCCUUACGACAAAAUGUCAAAGAGACACAAAGACGUCACAGACGCAGUAGCUUAUUGAAUUGCAAAAGACAUGCUACCAAUAAGAACUGUUAAGUUUCAUUUUUUAUAUCGUGAUACAUAUUAAUAUUGACUAAUAUGAAAAAAAAUAUAUUGUGAUAAACUUUUUCCCAUAUCGCCCAGCCCUACAUACAAGUAACAACUGCAAACACAAACAAAAGUAACAAAGUCAGGUCUGAAUAAAUCGACCAAUUAUCUGUUGUUAACCUUAAAGAGCUAAAUAUGCAGCGUAUAGAUGAGUGAUCUACAACCUUUAAGACUUACAUUUUCGAAUAACUGAUGAAAGUUAAAUCUCAAUUUUUUGUUUCUCAUAUAAACUCUAUAGAGUAAAAUCACUUAUGUGUCAGUGAAACUAUUGCAGUGUGUAAAUGAACACAUUAAACACCGUUAACUCCACCUGUGUAACACACUGAAGAUUUCAUGAAAAGCUUUAUGGCCUGUAAAGUUUCUCUUACUUUCCCUGCUGAAAAGGAGCUUCUGGUGCUCUCUGAGGCCCUCCCUGCUCACUGUUGUCCCUCUUCUGAACGUGUGUGUGUCUGUGUGUGUGUGUAACCUUGACAGAGAAAGCUAAGCUUCAGUGAGUGCCUGCGAGCUCUGAGCUAUCUUUAGCUUCUGCUGAAGCUUUUAGCACUGGCCUUCUCCUCCUACACUUCCUACUCUUCCUCCUCCUCCGCUCCCCUCAGCCCACUCACUGUUGGCUGCACAUGCAAACAUGCACACUUAUGCAUGCUUGCACACAACCGCACUCAUACACACAUACGCACUCACGCGACUGGAACAUACAUAUGCACACUGCAGAACUGUUACCGGGCAGAUUAGAGGAAAGCAACCUACUUCUGGGAUGAAAACACGAGCCUGAUGUUUGUUUCUCUUUGCAGAGUGAGCGGCCGACUCCUGUUCCCUGUGCUGCCCUGAUUUCUGCCUGAAGGCAAGUCAUAACCAAGGGCCUCACAGGAGUCACCCCUGUGCCCCUAUUGGUCGAGAGUAAAUCAAAUUCAGUGUGAAGCGCUCUAACAGACCGAACGAACUAUUAAUAAAUUAGCUGCAAACCAAACUGUGCUUACACCAAUCAUCAUUUGCGUGUAAUGGCCCACUGCAUCUGAUUUAUAUUGCUUAUUAUGCACAUGAGCUACAGUAACUAGUAAUGGUGUGAAAUGCAUUACUGAUGGUCUGAUUGUUGGUAUGUUUUCCAGCUUUAAUUAACUAUUCACAUGCAGCUGCAGAGGUGAUUUUACCACAUUGUCGCCUGAUGUUUUCACUAUUUUCCAAGACAGUCUCAUGUUUAGGAUUAAUAGCAACAAAAGGCUCAAGUUUUCCAAUCGAACACUCUCGAAUAGCUCGGCCAAUCGGCUCUGCUAAUCAGUGUUAAUCGUGUUAAAUGCUCCCGCACUGACGCCAAGGGGUGGUCAGGAAAACAUCCGCUUCAGGUUACUUUGCAUAAUCCAGUCGGAGAGGUUUAAACCAGAGGACCAGUUCCCAGGAGGCUUUCUCAAAAGUGAGCGUUUCAUUCAUUAAAGCCACCUUUGCAGAAAUACGAUAAAUCUAAGACUCAUGAGUUAUCAGAGUAGAUAUGCAGACAUUAUUGGAGUCUAGCUCUGUUUUUCUCACUUGAAGUUGUAUUUUAAAUUAUUUUUUAAUCCUUCUGCUACUUUAAACCAGGACUUUGAAUAUGAACACUAUAACUCAAAUACCUUUCAACUUAAUGUAAUAACUUUGCAAUAUCCCUGAAACACGUAUUACCUCUGUUAAUGUCAUAAUGCUUCAUUUUGUUUGAGAGCGCUUCACAAAGCAGCUCUUACAGAUUUAUGAUCCAGUGGUUGAAAAAUAACAAAGGAGGUAGAAAUAUGUCAGCAGUUCUUCUUGGUUUAUUAAAAGUUAUUCUUCUUUUUUACCUGAGCUCCAUUUAAAAAAAAAAAAGGAAACUCUUAAAUGCAUUUUUGCAGAAUUAAAAAAAUUCCUCCUCUAUGACAGGCGUCCAAAUUUACUGGAAAACUAGACCAGCUUACAGACUGGUACAGGAAAUGUUAUAAUGUGGCAACUGUAACAGGGCACUAACAACAAGCGCAAGUAAAAUCAUCUACGUGCUUAAUACGCGUGAAUUAAUAGUAUUUACUGGCUUCAUUCGCACGUCAACAGUAAUUUCAAUGAUAAUCCCUGCCAAUUCAACCGGCAGAAUUAAGUGAUAGACAAAGUUUUUUUAAAUUUACCAGGUAAUCUGACCUCCUCACUCACCUGCCUCUAGACGAGCUCCUUUUUAUUCCGGUUUCGGUGAUUGAAAGAAAAGGUAAUUUGGGGCACCCACACACCAACACGAUCAGUUUGUCCUCCAUUUUAGAUAGCGGUGAACAACCGUACGUUUUCAACCUUCGUGCUGAUUAGUUAUCCCGACGCAAAUAUCCGCUUAAAUUGAGACAUUUUCAGCUCCUGCUCAUCCGUGCCACCAGAGUAGUAGUAGGAGCGUCUAAUCGCGUCUUUGCAUUGACUUAACAUGUUAUUCAUUCGCGCAAAUGAUUUUACUCACGUUUUGUGUGUGGAGACAGUGAGGGGGAUAUCUUAUUGUAUUUUGGCAGAGUUACUUUUUAUGAAGGGGGCAGCUGUGAUUCAAGGUCAUUGGAAGGUCAGGGGUUCAAUUCCAGGUCCCGCUGACACAUGCCAAAGUGUCCAAUCAACUUUUUUAUCAAUAGGCUCAUACUUACUCAUCACGGGAGCUUCUUGGCCGCUGUAGUCAUCUCCAGGAGGAGUGAGCAAGGGACUACAGCAUUGAGAUACACUUCCACGGUUUUGUGGCGGCUUGUUCCCCUGAGUUUGUUACUAUUGGGUCCUCACUGUUGACGUUCAACUUGUCGAUGUAUUCCAACAUAAAAAAUCCUUGUCUUGUAUUUGAAUUUGUACACUAUUCCCAAAAAUUGAUUCAAAACAUCCUUUGUUCGGGUUUUAAAUCUGUGGAUAGCUCUGGUUUGUUUUCAGAGUCUAACCCACUGUAGGCUGACCAUACUCAGUCAACUUAUAUGUAAAACAGGCAGCCACAGAGUACUCUAAAAGGGUGAUAACUAUGUGUAAUGACUGUAAAGGUAAUUUAGAGUUAUUUUCUUCUAAAUGUGAAUAUAUAUAAAGGAGGUAUUUAUAGUGCCAUUAUGUUAACCUUAUCAUCUUGUCGUCGGUGAAUGAGAACAUCUCUCCUCCCAGACUGUGAAAAUGAUCCGAGCAGCAGUCAUGCAUCUUUAAUAUUCAUUCAAUCAUGUCAGCGUGAGAUUGUCUAAUAAUAGUCAUUCUACAGCUCAGGAGGAGAGUUACUGGUGUGGGCCUGCACCUGUAUUCCUGUCCUCCCCCUCUCUGUCUCUGCACUGCAGUAUCUGAGGCUGUCAGGAGACCAUAUGCACCGAGUGUCAUUGCCGGCCUCUGCCUGUCAUCCCUGCUUCCCCCCAGCCUCUGUGCGCGGACCGCCGGGACACACAUGCACACUCUGGGUAAUACUACACACACUCUCUCUGUCCUCCUCGACUCACCUUCUGAGCUGCUGUCCCAAGACACCCGCUGAGAAAAGAGCUUUACUCUGCACCCGACAGACACAGAGAGAGAGAGAGAGAUAGUGCUUCUGCAGCCUCUUUGCCUUAAACGACAAAAAUAUCUCAUGCAGUGGUUUUCAUAUUUGAUGUUUAAAUAAUCUUUGAAAGAAGUCUGAC